This 1149-nucleotide long non-coding RNA is filed under the name Oncorhynchus mykiss (rainbow trout). RNAcentral's name for it is "lncRNA (ENSOMYG00000054615.1)". The record is from RNAcentral. Lineage: Eukaryota; Metazoa; Chordata; Actinopteri; Salmoniformes; Salmonidae.
UGUGUGGUAAUAUUCACAUUAUACAUAACUAGUGGUUUCCUCAUUACCAGAUAUACUACAUACAUAACUAGUGGUUUCCUCAUUACCAGAUAUACUACAUCCAUAACUAGUGGUUUCCUCAUUACCAGAUAUACUACAUCCAUAACUAGUGGUUUCCUCAUUACCAGAUAUACUACAUCCAUAACUAGUGGUUUCCUCAUUACCAGAUAUACUACAUCCAUAACUAGUGGUUUCCUCAUUACCAGAUAUACUACAUCCAUAACUAGUGGUUUCCUCAUUACCAGAUAUACUACAUCCAUAACUAGUGGUUUCCUCAUUAGCAGAUAUACUACAUCCAUAACUAGUGGUUUCCUCAUUACCAGAUAUACUACAUCCAUAACUAGUGGUUUCCUCAUUACCAGAUAUACUACAUCCAUAACUAGUGGUUUCCUCAUUACCAGAUAUACUACGUCCAUAACUAGUGGUUUCCUCAUUAGCAGAUAUACUACAUCCAUAACUAGUGGUUUCCUCAUUAGCAGAUAUACUACAUCCAUAACUAGUGGUUUCCUCAUUACCAGAUAUACUACAUCCAUAACUAGUGGUUUCCUCAUUACCAGAUAUACUACAUCCAUAACUAGUGGUUUCCUCAUUACCAGAUAUACUACAUCCAUAACUAGUGGUUUCCUCAUUACCAGAUAUACUACAUCCAUAACUAGUGGUUUCCUCAUUACCAUAUAUACUACAUCCAUAACUAGUGGUUUCCUCAUUACCAGAUAUACUACAUCCAUAACUAGUGGUUUCCUCAUUACCAUAUAUACUACAUCCAUAACUAGUGGUUUCCUCAUUACCAGAUAUACUACGUCCAUAACUAGUGGUUUCCUCAUUAGCAGAUAUACUACAUCCAUAACUAGUGGUUUCCUCAUUACCAUAUAUACUACAUCCAUAACUAGUGGUUUCCUCAUUACCAGAUAUACUACGUCCAUAACUAGUGGUUUCCUCAUUAGCAGAUAUACUACAUCCAUAACUAGUGGUUUCCUCAUUACCAGAUAUGCUACAUCCAUAACUAGUGGUUUUCUUAUUAGCAGGGAAGAGUUUCUGCAACCAAAUUGUGUGUGCAUCGGCCCUCGUGGCGAAAUUUUAGCAAACACAGAGUGGGGCCUAUAUUGGUGA